RNAcentral lists this ribosomal RNA (428 nucleotides) under uncultured bacterium. RNAcentral describes it as "partial 16S ribosomal RNA". It matches the Rfam family "Bacterial small subunit ribosomal RNA", at positions 354 to 796 of the family's 1533-position model. The record is from RNAcentral.
GUGGGGAAUAUUGGGCAAUGGGCGAAAGCCUGACCCAGCAACGCCGCGUGAAGGAAGAAGGUUUUCGGAUUGUAAACUUCUGUCCUCAGGGAAGAAGGAAGUGACGGUACCUGAGGAGGAAGCCCCGGCUAACUACGUGCCAGCAGCCGCGGUAAUACGUAGGGGGCGAGCGUUGUCCGGAAUGACUGGGCGUAAAGGGCGCGUAGACGGCUGUCUAAGUCUGGAGUGAAAGUCCUGCUUUCAAGGUGGGAAUUGCUUUGGAGACUGGAUGGCUUGAGUGCGGAAGAGGUAAGUGGAAUUCCCAGUGUAGCGGUGAAAUGCGUAGAGAUUGGGAGGAACACCAGUGGCGAAGGCGACUUACUGGGCCGUAACUGACGCUGAGGCGCGAAAGUGUGGGGAGCAAACAGGAUUAGAUACCCUGGUAGUCC